GCGAGGCGUGAGGGGGUGGUUCUCAGGGAUUUGCUGAGCCAAGGUUCCCACAGCCCCAGGGGACAGGGGACGUCUGGGUCACCACCGCACUCGGGGGCGAAUGGUUGGUACUUGACUCCCCCCCCCCCCCCCCCCGCCACUGCCUGCUAAGCUCAGGACAGACGUGCAGGUUCUGAGGUUCCUAAGCUGGGGACGGGGGAGCCCCCAAGUUGCCCCUUGGUCAGAGCCCCGGUGAGGCCCGGCUUGCUGUGCGGAGCACCAGACAGCACCCCCUCGGAUUGGAGAGCCCCCCCCCCCACCGAAUUGGAGGGCCCCGUGGGGGCUGAGGCCACAGAGCCGCCCCCCAGGACAGGGGCACGGGCGCAGACGCACACCGGCACGCACAGCCGUCUGACCCGCCAGGGCGCUGAGAUCUGAAGGCUGUGGUUAGAGCCCCUCUUCCGUGCCCCUGCCAGAGAGAGCCUUGUUCACACACCCCGACACCCCUCUCAUCCCACCCCGACCCCCAGCGCCCUGUGGGGAUGGGGGGUGGGUUGCAGAAACUGAGCUCAAGGAACUUCAGUCCCUCUGCCCAGGGCCACAGACUGGGGGAGGUCCAGGACCCUAGACCCCAGGCCACAGCACAUGGCUCCCUCCACGUGUGGGGCUUGUGCAGGUGGCCAGGCCAGAAGGGGCCUCCUGCUGGCUGACCUGAGGGCCACCUUCCAGCCGGGGACACCAGUGCUCCCAGUCAGUAGGUCCCUGGGCCCCCUGGGGCUCCCGCAGGGGGUCCCCAGACAGCCCUGCAGGCUCUCCCACCCUCGGGGUGCUCCUGCCUGCCUGUGAGCUGCUCCCCACUCUGAAUGUCAGGCUCCAUAAGUUGGGAACAACAGCCCCCUGGCCCCCUGACCAGGUGGAGCCUGUGGAGACUUGUUCUGGUGGGGAGACUCCCCGAGGUGAGCUGCCUGCCCUCCGUGCAGCCCUGAGUGAGCUCCUAGCCCCUUGGGCCCUGGGUACCGUCUUUGACAGGUGGUGACACCUGCCGGGCCUGGCUGCAUGACGCGGACGGGCUGAGCCUGGCGGGCACCCCGGGUCACGUACUGGGCACCCACCGUGGGCACGUGCCACACUGGGUGGCCUUCCGGGCCAGGGCCUGAGGCUCCCUCCCACGCUCUGUCCCCACGGAGCUUCCCACGGCACGUUCCAGAGCCACGGGCACUGCCCCACAUCCACAUGAUGAGGCGAAGCACAAGGCCGGGGCCCGGAGACACCGUGGGGUCAUGGCUGAGCAGGACCGCGGCCCCAGAGGACGUCAGCACACGCUGGUCAGGACAAGCUGCCGAGUGUCCCCAAUCUUUGUAAAUGGCCACCUGCCUCCGGAAGCCUAAGCUGAGCGCAUCCUCAGCAAAUACUGGGGGGCCUGGCUGCCUUCGACUGCUCAGCACCCCUGUCUCCCAGGUCUUCCCGACAGACCAGGUUUCUGCCCUGUGGCAGAAACCAGAAGCUGACCUCUGACACACACACACACACACACACACACACACACACACACACACACACACUCAUGUCUUACCCCACCAGCUCUGGCCAGCUUGGCCGCACAUCACAGCCGGCCUGGCCCUGCCCCCUUGCCUCCCUCCCUGCACCCAGGGAUCCUUCCUGAUAGGUCAGGUCUCCCUCCCAGAUCGCUGCCCCGCCCUUUCUAACCCUUCCCCUGCUCUCCCUGCCCUGCUCCGAGGCUUGUCCAGAGAGCCUCCCCAGACUUCUCACCCCCCCAGCCCCUGGUCCACAGUGGCCGGCUGGUCCCCACUGGGUCACCCCUGGGCCUGGUCCCCUCUACCCGCCUCCACAACAUCGCUCUCCCUAUCACAGAGAGAGGAGGGCGCUGCUCAGAGGGUUUCACGCAACUCACACCGUUGAACCCCCCAGAAGAGCUGGGUGGGACCGGUGUUUCCACCCUCCCUCCAAGGGGCCCCAGAUCCAAGCAGCCGUGGUGCCUGGCAGCAUAUACGCACAGAACCAGCAUCCGGGCCCCCGGGGCCAAUGGCUACGAUGCUCCUGGGCUGGACCACUGGGCCACACUGCCCACUGUCCACAGGGCGUGACCAGCCUCCAGGGGGGCCCUCCCCAGCCAGGUCAGGCCCACCCAGGCCCACUUCUGGAAUGCAGCCCAUGGCGCUCGCUCCCUGACCGAGCAAGGCCACGCGGGUGGUGGUCAGACGGCACCUACCCCCGCCCCCCUUGCCCAGCCUGCCCAGCCCCCACCUCGCCACUGCCCCCACCAGCAGCCACUCCUGGGUGUCGGGAGGCAGGCCAUGAUUCAGGCCUGAGUCAGCAGCUUUAGGAGAAGGACUUGGCCGCUUCUGCCAGC
This is a long non-coding RNA of Felis catus (domestic cat), 2350 nucleotides long. RefSeq lists it as uncharacterized. NCBI's taxonomy places the organism in Eukaryota, Metazoa, Chordata, Mammalia, Carnivora, Felidae. The record is from RefSeq and is a predicted model, not a curated record. The transcript has 3 exons.